GGGGGAAUAUUGCACAAUGGGGGAAACCCUGAUGCAGCGACGCCGCGUGGAGGAUGACGGCCUUCGGGUUGUAAACUCCUUUUGUCAGGGACAAUGGUGAUGGUACCUGACGAAUAAGCCACGGCUAACUCUGUGCCAGCAGCCGCGGUAAGACAGAGGUGGCGAGCGUUGUUCGGAAUUACUGGGCUUAAAGGGCGCGUAGGCGGUGGUUUAAGUCUAGGGUGGAAUGCUACAGCUCAACUGUAGAGCUGCCUUGGAAACUGGAUUACUUGAGUCGGUGAGGGGAAGGUGGAAUUCCAGGUGUAGCGGUGAAAUGCGUAGAUAUCUGGAGGAAGGUCUGUGGCGAAGGCGACCUUCUGGCACUUGACUGACGCUGAGGCGCGAAAGCGUGGGGAGCAAA
RNAcentral lists this ribosomal RNA (400 nucleotides) under uncultured bacterium. RNAcentral describes it as "bacterial SSU rRNA". It matches the Rfam family "Bacterial small subunit ribosomal RNA", at positions 355 to 772 of the family's 1533-position model. The record is from RNAcentral.